GGUUGCCUAUGCUCUUGCUGGCACUGUUGAUAUAGACUUUGAUAAAGAACCAAUUGGAGUGGGGAAGGAUGGUAAUAGUGUCUACUUCAGGGAUAUUUGGCCAUCGACUGAAGAAAUUGCCGAGGUUGUUCAAUCAAGUGUAUUGCCUGACAUGUUCAAGAGUACGUAUGAAGCUAUUACAAAGGGGAAUAACAUGUGGAAUCAAUUGUCAGUACCGGCUACCUCGCUCUACUCUUGGGACACUAGCUCUACGUACAUUCAUGAGCCACCAUAUUUCAAGGAUAUGACCAUGGAUCCCCCAGGGCCCCAUGGAGUGAAGGAUGCUUACUGCUUGCUGAACUUUGGUGAUAGUAUUACCACAGAUCACAUUUCACCAGCUGGAAGCAUCCACAAAGAUAGCCCUGCUGCUAAGUACCUUAAUGAGCGUGGGGUUGAUCGCAGGGACUUCAACUCAUAUGGUAGUCGUCGUGGUAAUGAUGAAAUUAUGGCUAGGGGUACUUUUGCCAACAUCCGAAUUGUUAAUAAGCUGUUAAAUGGUGAAGUUGGCCCAAAGACGAUUCACAUUCCCUCUGGAGAGAAGCUCUCCGUGUUUGAUGCUGCAAUGAAAUACAAGUCUGCUGGGCAAGACACAAUAAUCUUGGCUGGAGCUGAAUACGGAAGUGGUAGCUCCCGAGAUUGGGCUGCUAAGGGCCCCAUGUUGUUGGGAGUUAAAGCUGUAAUUGCUAAAAGCUUCGAGAGGAUUCACCGUAGCAACUUGGUAGGAAUGGGAAUUGUGCCUCUAUGUUUCAAGGCUGGUGAAGAUGCAGAUUCACUUGGAUUGACAGGUCAUGAGCGAUAUACCAUUGAUCUCCCAGACAACAUUAGCGAGAUCCGCCCAGGUCAAGAUGUUACUGUACAAACAGACACUGGAAAAUCUUUCACAUGCGUAGUGCGCUUUGACACUGAGGUGGAGUUGGCUUACUUCAACCAUGGUGGUAUCCUCCCAUACGUCAUUCGACAGUUGAGUCAGCAAUGAAACACAGCACUGAUUAUCUAGUAGCUACGUUUCUCAGAUAACUGUUUCGGUCUGGAAAGAGGAGGAAGGAUCAUGAAUCUUUUAACGCCAUUGUUGGCGAGGUUAUUUUGUUACUUCAGAAAGCACUGUCUAGCUAAUCUUUUGGAGAUGACUAGCAGUGUAUCAUCUUGUGGGAAUAAAGUCUUAAGUCUGGAAAUUUGUAAAACUUGCUUUACAUCAAUUGAAGAUUUU
This 1246-nucleotide unclassified non-coding RNA is filed under the name Hevea brasiliensis (rubber tree). The record is from RNAcentral. Lineage: Eukaryota; Viridiplantae; Streptophyta; Magnoliopsida; Malpighiales; Euphorbiaceae.